RNAcentral lists this transfer-messenger RNA (209 nucleotides) under Nitrobacter winogradskyi Nb-255. RNAcentral describes it as "transfer-messenger RNA Nitro_winog_Nb255". It matches the Rfam family "Alphaproteobacteria transfer-messenger RNA", at positions 148 to 355 of the family's 355-position model. From Rfam's summary of the family: Bacterial tmRNA, also known as 10Sa RNA or SsrA, is named for its dual tRNA and mRNA-like properties. Its role is to liberate the mRNA from a stalled ribosome. Lineage: Bacteria; Pseudomonadati; Pseudomonadota; Alphaproteobacteria; Hyphomicrobiales; Nitrobacteraceae. The record is from RNAcentral.
GGGGGCGAAACAGGAUCGACGAGGGCGUAAAGGGCUCGCUUUUUCCCGGUAUGGUUCCGCCGUUAUCGGGCUAUGCAAUAGUUGCAAACGACAACUAUGCUCCGGUUGCUCAGGCUGCGUAACGCAGUUUGAAAGACCACUCUGAAGCCCUGACGGGUUAAGCUCCGUCAGGCGGGGUCCGGAGGCACCUGGCAACAGAAGCCUCCACU